UGACCUACAAUGGUGCAUAAACUCCAAUGU
This 30-nucleotide non-coding RNA is filed under the name Rattus norvegicus (Norway rat). Lineage: Eukaryota; Metazoa; Chordata; Mammalia; Rodentia; Muridae. The record is from RNAcentral.